GACGAACGCUGGCGGCGUGCUUAACACAUGCAAGUCGAACGGUAAGGCCCUUCGGGGUACACGAGUGGCGAACGGGUGAGUAACACGUGGGUGAUCUGCCCUGCACUUCGGGAUAAGCCUGGGAAACUGGGUCUAAUACCGGAUAGGACCACUGCCUGCAUGGGUGGUGGUGGAAAGCUUUUGCGGUGUGGGAUGGGCCCGCGGCCGAUCAGUUUGUUGGUGGGGUGAUGGCCUACCAAGGCGACGACGGGUAGCCGGCCUGAGAGGGUGACCGGCCACACUGGGACUGAGAUACGGCCCAGACUCCUACGGGAGGCAGCAGUGGGGAAUAUUGCACAAUGGGCGCAAGCCUGAUGCAGCGACGCCGCGUGAGGGAUGACGGCCUUCGGGUUGUAAACCUCUUUCAGCACCGACGAAGCGCAAGUGACGGUAGGUGCAGAAGAAGGACCGGCCAACUACGUGCCAGCCGCCGCAGUAA
This 478-nucleotide ribosomal RNA is filed under the name uncultured bacterium. RNAcentral's name for it is "partial 16S ribosomal RNA". It matches the Rfam family "Bacterial small subunit ribosomal RNA", at positions 28 to 523 of the family's 1533-position model. The record is from RNAcentral.